This 1137-nucleotide ribosomal RNA is filed under the name Salmonella enterica subsp. enterica serovar Typhimurium. RNAcentral describes it as "partial 23S ribosomal RNA". It matches the Rfam family "Bacterial large subunit ribosomal RNA", at positions 1 to 1547 of the family's 2925-position model. Lineage: Bacteria; Pseudomonadati; Pseudomonadota; Gammaproteobacteria; Enterobacterales; Enterobacteriaceae. The record is from RNAcentral.
GCCAGUGGUGAACUCCACAUCCGCAUCCUUUGCUGAGGAUACGGUUAACGGAGCGAAAGCGACGUUCAACCGCAAAACAAGCAGAGGGGGCUUAGUGGUGGGGUGACUGCGUACCUUUUGUAUAAUGGGUCAGCGACUUAUAUUCUGUAGCAAGGUUAACCGAAUAGGGGAGCCGGAGGGAAACCGAGUCUUAAUUGGGCGUUAAGUUGCAGGGUAUAGACCCGAAACCCGGUGAUCUAGCCAUGGGCAGGUUGAAGGUUGGGUAACACUAACUGGAGGACCGAACCGACUAAUGUUGAAAAAUUAGCGGAUGACCUGUGGCUGGGGGUGAAAGGCCAAUCAAACCGGGAGAUAGCUGGUUCUCCCCGAAAGCUAUUUAGGUAGCGCCUCGUGAAUUCAUCUCCGGGGGUAGAGCACUGUUUCGGCUAGGGGGCCAUCCCGGCUUACCAACCCGAUGCAAACUGCGAAUACCGGAGAAUGUUAUCACGGGAGACACACGGCGGGUGCUAACGUCCGUCGUGAAGAGGGAAACAACCCAGACCGCCAGCUAAGGUCCCAAAGUCAUGGUUAAGUGGGAAACGAUGUGGGAAGGCCCAGACAGCCAGGAUGUUGGCUUAGAAGCAGCCAUCAUUUAAAGAAAGCGUAAUAGCUCACUGGUCGAGUCGGCCUGCGCGGAAGAUGUAACGGGGCUAAACCAUGCACCGAAGCUGCGGCAGCGAACGUAUCACCCAAGACAACUUUACGGAGUUGACGAUUGACGGAGCGAAGCGACGUCAAAGCGUUCAUUAAAGUCGAGUUGGCUUAGGGAUACGUUCGUUGGGUAGGGGAGCGUUCUGUAAGCCUGUGAAGGUGUGUCGUGAGGCAUGCUGGAGGUAUCAGAAGUGCGAAUGCUGACAUAAGUAACGAUAAAGCGGGUGAAAAGCCCGCUCGCCGGAAGACCAAGGGUUCCUGUCCAACGUUAAUCGGGGCAGGGUGAGUCGACCCCUAAGGCGAGGCCGAAAGGCGUAGUCGAUGGGAAACGGGUUAAUAUUCCCGUACUUGGUGUUACUGCGAAGGGGGGACGGAGAAGGCUAUGUUGGCCGGGCGACGGUUGUCCCGGUUUAAGCGUGUAGGUGUGUGUUCCAGGUAAAUCCGGUU